UCCUCACCCCCGCCGCCGACGCCUCCCUGCCCCCCCGACUGGCCGUCCUUUUCACCGGUGCAAAGGCGGGGGCCCGACCGACCUAUCGAAGUGCGCGAACAGCGCGGAGGUUGGGGGGUCGUAAUCCAGAGGGCCUUCCCUUUCACGCUUUGCCUCCUCUCGCCUCCGGGAGAGAAAGACGACGGCGACGAAGAACAACAUGACUACAAUCGCCGUCCCUUUCAUUCCCUUCCCUGCCGCGCUUUUCCUGUCGGAUCCGAGCUCUCAACGGCCAUGAUCAGAUCCCCUACAACCUCCCUUUUGCUCUCUGCUCUUCGUCUUCUACCUCGCCUCGGC
Molecule: long non-coding RNA, 336 nt
Filed under: Spirodela polyrhiza (greater duckweed)
Lineage: Eukaryota; Viridiplantae; Streptophyta; Magnoliopsida; Alismatales; Araceae
Description: long non-coding RNA (SPOL_LNC002163)
Source: RNAcentral